Molecule: transfer RNA, 81 nt
Filed under: Nematocida displodere
Lineage: Eukaryota; Fungi; Microsporidia
Rfam family: tRNA
About the family: Transfer RNA (tRNA) molecules are approximately 80 nucleotides in length. Their secondary structure includes four short double-helical elements and three loops (D, anti-codon, and T loops). Further hydrogen bonds mediate the characteristic L-shaped molecular structure. tRNAs have two regions of fundamental functional importance: the anti-codon, which is responsible for specific mRNA codon recognition, and the 3' end, to which the tRNAs corresponding amino acid is attached (by aminoacyl-tRNA synthetases). tRNAs cope with the degeneracy of the genetic code in two manners: having more than one tRNA (with a specific anti-codon) for a particular amino acid; and 'wobble' base-pairing, i.e. permitting non-standard base-pairing at the 3rd anti-codon position.
Source: Rfam by way of RNAcentral
GUCAGCGUGGCCGAGUGGUUAAGGCGCUUGACUUGAAAUCAAGUGGGUAUACCCGCGCAGGUUCGAGUCCUGCCGCUGACG